GCUACGGGUGGCAGCAGUGAGGAAUAUUGGUCAAUGGACGAGAGUCUGAACCAGCCAAGUAGCGUGAAGGAUGACUGCCCUAUGGGUUGUAAACUUCUUUUAUAAAGGAAUAAAACGAGGCACGGGUGCCUUUUUGCAUGUACUUGAUGAAUAAGGAUCGGCUAACUCCGGGACAGCAGCCGCGGUAAUACGGAGGGGUCAAGCGUUAGCCGGAUUUACUGGGUGGAAAGGGAGCGUAGACGGUGAGACAAGUCUGAAGUGAAAGCCCGGGGCUCAACCCCGGGAAUGCUUUGGAAAAUGCCUGACUGUAGUGCUGGAGAGGCAAGCGGAAUUCCUAGUGUAGCGGUGAAAUGCGUAGAUAUUAGGAAGAACACCAGUGGCGAAGGCGGCUUGCUGGACAGUAACUGACGUUGAGGCUCGAAAGCGUGGGGAGCAAACAGGAUUAGAGACCCCGGUAGUC
This 460-nucleotide ribosomal RNA is filed under the name uncultured bacterium. RNAcentral describes it as "partial 16S ribosomal RNA". It matches the Rfam family "Bacterial small subunit ribosomal RNA", at positions 338 to 795 of the family's 1533-position model. The record is from RNAcentral.